Scatophagus argus is the source of this 648-nucleotide long non-coding RNA. RefSeq lists it as uncharacterized. The record is from RefSeq and is a predicted model, not a curated record. The transcript has 3 exons. Lineage: Eukaryota; Metazoa; Chordata; Actinopteri; Scatophagidae.
UGUGACUGACUGGCCAACAGUCCAGUGUGAACCCUCUCCUCACCUGUAGUCAGCUGGGAUUGGCUCCAGCCCCUCCGCGACCCUGAUGGAUAGGCGGUGUAGAAAACGGAUGAUGGAGUCUGAGAAAAGACAGCACUGAUGUCAGCAUGCACCACCAGCCUCAGCAGUUCAAAUGUUUGCAGUGCUGCUUCCUAUCAUUGGAGGAGUGUGAUGACAGCUGAGAUCACACACCCAGCAGGACACACUGAGAGGCACGUACAGCAGAGAGGUCAAAGGUCACCAACCGACAAACCGCCUCAUCUGCCGACUGCUGGGACAUUUGGUUUAGUCCUGUUCGUGGCACCAAAAGCACAGAUUUUAAGACAGAAUAUGAUCUUCGGCUAACCUGAACAAAGUGCUUUUAUUGCGUCAACCUGAGUAGACCCUCACACAAUGUAAAGCCUGUGGAGUAAUGACACCAUCCGAUUGGUUCCCUAAAAACCUCACCUCCACCAACAUCUUCACCGUGCUGUUCUGUCUGCCCGGCAGUCCAGUCGGUGCCAGCAGAAAGUGAGCAGCAGUGAAACUCGAUGUUCGCUCCUCCAGCCGUCCUCCAGGCUCCAGGACGUGGUGUGUGUGAUCCACCCCGGCUCGGGUUACCCUCUCUGG